Molecule: long non-coding RNA, 1941 nt
Filed under: Macaca fascicularis (crab-eating macaque)
Lineage: Eukaryota; Metazoa; Chordata; Mammalia; Primates; Cercopithecidae
Description: lncRNA (ENSMFAG00000063578.1)
Source: RNAcentral
GCCACAAACUGAGCCGCAGAACCUCCCUUCUUCCCCCACCCACCUCUCCUGCUCUCUCCCUUCUCUGCGCCAGCCUAGGGCUCUGCACCAAAGCCAUAGGUUGGGGGAGCAGGAGCUGGUGUGCCCCGGAGCGGUGCGGCCAACCCUCCACCAGCUCCAGGCGCCAAAUCUUGGUGGCAGGGAGGGCACCCCGCUGCCUGUUGCCCCAGAGCUGUUCCCUGGCAGGGGAGGACAGGCAUUAGGCCCCAUGGUGCCGGGGUGUUCAGAGAGGCUGAGGAAUAGAACAGUGUGUAGGGGCUUGGGGCAGCGGGUUCUGGAGUGUCAGAUGAGGUGGAGGCCAGGGGAGGACAGGGGUGUUAGUGCCCCCAACUCCUGCCAGAGCCCCAGUCCAGCCACAGAGUGGCUCAGCAAGGCCAUUAAGAGAGCUCCCUUCUCCCUUGCCCAUGCCCCUAGAGCUGCCUCUCAGGCAGGGCGGCACCACUGCAGGAGAGGAGCUUGGCCUCUGGGAGUCAGGCAGGAGGGGCCUGGCUAGCCAGUGCUGGCUCCACUGGGCAGGGAGCCCUGGACCCCCAGGUAUGAGGAGGGGGUGGGCUUAGAGUCCUGUUCCAGGUCCGUCCCCCACCUAGCAAGGCCCCAGGCGGAACUUGGAAUUCGGCCUGCAGGCCGAGGGGCUCCACAAGCAGGUGCUGCUCGCACAGGGAGUUCAGGCGCCAGCCAAGCCCCUGUGCUUCUGUGGUAGGCCUGCUUCACUUAGGGAGCGCUGCCUCAAGGCAGAUAAAGCUCCCUUGUUUGCCCCGACACCCAUGGGGACCUCUCAAGAGAGAAACUCCCGUUCACCCCUUUCCCAGGGCACUCGCUCUCUAGGUGGCAUGCCAGCCCCCAAACACAGGUGGCUUUUGGGCCCAGGUGGGUCAGCCUGCUGCCCCUGCCCUAUACCCUCUCAGGCCGUUGGGACCCCUGCCCUUCAGAUGUCCAAGGGUCUAGGAGUGGGGCCAGUCACCAUGAGAAGAGGCCAAGGGCUUGGCAGGAGAGGCGGCCCAGGUAGGACCCAGUCCUGAGUCCAGAGCAGGGCCAGGGAGGUGCCCACCCCGCCCCGGCCAGCCGCCCUCUCUCUUGUUUCUUCUAUUUGUUCUUCUUUUCACCCACAGCCCUGUGUUCUUGUCAUCCCUCCUUUCAGCAAAAGUCCUGUUCCCCUUCCCUCUGUCCCCACCCACUCCUGUUCCCCAAGAAAAUAAGCUAUCAUUGUUGUAUUUGCAAUCUAUGGAUUAGAGGUUUAAGUAUUUAUUAUUAUUGGUUAAUUAUUAUUAAUUAUGUAAAUUUGCCUCCCGUCUGUCUGUUGCAUUGGGUUUCUGAGGAGGCCCUGGGUGAGGAGGAUGCACUGGCUCCCCGCUUCUCGCCCCCCACCCCUGUGCUGUCCAGGAGGCAGUGGUCCGGGGCCACUGGUUGGGCCCCCCUCCUCCCCUCCCCUUGUCCCUUCUCCAGGCUGUGUGGGGGGGUGGUCCUGUCUGUCUCAGUCUGUCUCUGCUCCCACUCUUGAGGCACUGGUCACCCCAAAGUGAGCUGCCAGGGUGGGGAAGAAGGUCCUGUGUUGGCCACUGCCUCCUCCAGUGCUGCGGGAGGCGGGCUGGGGCCCCACCUGAUGGCUUUCUCCCCACUGGGCCCUGAGUCCUCUCCAAGCCUCUCUCCCACCCCUCUCACCCGGCCACUGCCUGGCAUUGGGAUCGCCCCACAAUGGACCCGGCCCCUCCUGUUAUUUGCUGGGAAGUCCAGCGGAGGAGAGGGUGCAGGUCCCCCGCCGAGCCUCCAGUCUCUGUGGACUGGGCUGCCGGCCCUUCCGCACCCCCUUAGAGCCCCUCCCGCCGCGGCUGCACCUUCCGCUCCGGGCCCCUCCCUUUGUAUUUGGAGACAAUGUGUUGUAAUAAAGCUUAAAGUGGAUGUUUU